RNAcentral lists this ribosomal RNA (468 nucleotides) under uncultured bacterium. Its description in RNAcentral is "partial 16S ribosomal RNA". It matches the Rfam family "Bacterial small subunit ribosomal RNA", at positions 28 to 507 of the family's 1533-position model. The record is from RNAcentral.
GACGAACGCUGGCGGCGUGCUUAACACAUGCAAGUCGAACGGAAAGGCCCUGCUUUUGUGGGGUGCUCGAGUGGCGAACGGGUGAGUAACACGUGAGUAACCUGCCCGUGACUUUGGGAUAACUUCAGGAAACUGGGGCUAAUACCGGAUAGGAGCUCCUGCUGCAUGGUGGGGGUUGGAAAGUUUCGGCGGUUGGGGAUGGACUCGCGGCUUAUCAGCUUGUUGGUGGGGUAGUGGCUUACCAAGGCUUUGACGGGUAGCCGGCCUGAGAGGGUGACCGGCCACAUUGGGACUGAGAUGCGGCCCGGACUCCUACGGGAGGCAGCAGUGGGGAAUAUUGCACAAUGGGCGGAGGCCUGAUGCAGCAACGCCGCGUGCGGGAUGACGGCCUUCGGGUUGUAAACCGCUUUCGCCUGUGACGAAGCGUGAGUGACGGUAAUGGGUAAAGAAGCACCGGCUAACUACGUG